GCUCAGUAACACGUGGAUAACCUACCCUUAGGACUGGGAUAACCCUGGGAAACUGGGGAUAAUACUAGAUAGGCAAGUUUUCCUGGAAUGGUUUUUUGUUUAAAUGUUUUUUCGCCUAAGGAUGGGUCUGCGGCCGAUUAGGUAGUUGGUUAGGUAAAGGCUUACCAAGCCGUUGAUCGGUACGGGUUGUGAGAGCAAGAGCCCGGAGAUGGAACCUGAGACAAGGUUCCAGGCCCUACGGGGUGCAGCAGGCGCGAAACCUCCGCAAUGUGAGAAAUCGCGACGGGGGGAUCCCAAGUGCCAUUCUUAACGGGAUGGCUUUUCAUUAGUGUAAAGAGCUUUUGGAAUAAGAGCUGGGCAAGACCGGUGCCAGCCGCCGCGGUAACACCGGCAGCUCUAGUGGUAGCAGUUUUUAUUGGGCCUAAAGCGUCCGUAGCCGGUUUAAUAAGUCUUUGGUGAAAUCCUGUAGCUUAACUGUGGGAAUUGCUGGAGAUACUAUUAGACUUGAGAUCGGGAGAGGUUAGAGGUACUCCCAGGGUAGAGGUGAAAUUCUGUAAUCCUGGGAGGACCGCCUGUUGCGAAGGCGUCUAACUGGAACGAUUCUGACGGUGAGGGACGAAAGUUAGGGGCGCGAACCGGAUUAGAUACCCGGGUAGUCCUAACUGUAAACGAUGCGGACUUGGUGUUGGGGUGGCUUUGAGCUGCUCCAGUGCCGAAGGGAAGCUGUUAAGUCCGCCGCCUGGGAAGUACGGUCGCAAGACUGAAACUUAAAGGAAUUGGCGGGGGAGCAC
Molecule: ribosomal RNA, 791 nt
Filed under: uncultured archaeon
Lineage: Archaea
Description: bacterial SSU rRNA
Rfam family: Archaeal small subunit ribosomal RNA
Source: RNAcentral